RNAcentral lists this ribosomal RNA (253 nucleotides) under uncultured bacterium. RNAcentral describes it as "partial 16S ribosomal RNA". It matches the Rfam family "Bacterial small subunit ribosomal RNA", at positions 524 to 776 of the family's 1533-position model. The record is from RNAcentral.
UACGUAGGGGGCAAGCGUUGUCCGGAAUGACUGGGCGUAAAGGGUGUGUAGGCGGUUUCUUGCGUCGAAUGUGAAAGCCAUGGGCUCAACCCAUGAACUGCAUUCGAUACGGGGAAACUAGAGUGUGGGAGAGGUUCGUGGAAUUCCUAGUGUAGCGGUAGAAUGCGUAGAUAUUAGGAGGAACAUCGGAGGCGAAGGCGGCGAACUGGACCAUAACUGACGCUGAGACACGAAAGCGUGGGGAGCAAACAGG